GGAUUGAGAGCUUGCUCUCAAGAAGUUAGCGGCGGACGGGUGAGUAACACGUGGGUAACCUGCCCAUAAGACUGGGAUAACUCCGGGAAACCGGGGCUAAUACCGGAUAAUAUUUUGAACUGCAUGGUUCGAAAUUGAAAGGCGGCUUCGGCUGUCACUUAUGGAUGGACCCGCGUCGCAUUAGCUAGUUGGUGAGGUAACGGCUCACCAAGGCAACGAUGCGUAGCCGACCUGAGAGGGUGAUCGGCCACACUGGGACUGAGACACGGCCCAGACUCCUACGGGAGGCAGCAGUAGGGAAUCUUCCGCAAUGGACGAAAGUCUGACGGAGCAACGCCGCGUGAGUGAUGAAGGCUUUCGGGUCGUAAAACUCUGUUGUUAGGGAAGAACAAGUGCUAGUUGAAUAAGCUGGCACCUUGACGGUACCUAACCAGAAAGCCACGGCUAACUACGUGCCAGCAGCCGCGGUAAUACGUAGGUGGCAAGCGUUAUCCGGAAUUAUUGGGCGUAAAGCGCGCGCAGGUGGUUUCUUAAGUCUGAUGUG
Molecule: ribosomal RNA, 544 nt
Filed under: Bacillus mobilis
Lineage: Bacteria; Bacillati; Bacillota; Bacilli; Caryophanales; Bacillaceae
Description: bacterial SSU rRNA
Rfam family: Bacterial small subunit ribosomal RNA
Source: RNAcentral